RNAcentral lists this ribosomal RNA (616 nucleotides) under uncultured bacterium. RNAcentral describes it as "partial 16S ribosomal RNA". It matches the Rfam family "Bacterial small subunit ribosomal RNA", at positions 56 to 646 of the family's 1533-position model. The record is from RNAcentral.
UGCAAGUCGACGCGAAGGGGAGCAAUCCCUGAGUAGAGUGGCAAACGGGUGAGUAACACGUGGGUGACCUGCCUUCGAGUGGGGGAUAACGUCCCGAAAGGGACGCUAAUACCGCAUGACAUCCUGCCCUUGGAUGGGCGGAGAUCAAAGCUGGGGAUCGCAAGACCUGGCGCUUGAAGAGGGGCCCGCGCCUGAUUAGCUAGUUGGUGGGGUAACGGCCUACCAAGGCUACGAUCAGUAUCCGACCUGAGAGGGCGGACGGACACACUGGGACUGAGACACGGCCCAGACUCCUACGGGAGGCAGCAGUGGGGAAUUGUUCGCAAUGGGCGAAAGCCUGACGACGCAACGCCGCGUGGAGGACGAAGAUCUUCGGGUCGUAAACUCCUGUCGAGUGGGAAGAAUGGAUCGGGGGUGAAUAAUCCCCGGUAUUGACGGUACCACUAAAGGAAGCCCCGGCUAACUCCGUGCCAGCAGCCGCGGUAAUACGGGGGGGGGNAAAGCGUUGUUCGGAAUUACNNNNNCGNNAAAGGGCUCGUANGNNGGCCNACUAAAGUCGGACGUGAAAUCCCCAAGGCUCNANCUGGGAACUGCGUCCGAUACUGGAUGGCUUGAA